RNAcentral lists this unclassified non-coding RNA (1070 nucleotides) under Zea mays. Its description in RNAcentral is "misc RNA Zm00001eb012230". The record is from RNAcentral. Lineage: Eukaryota; Viridiplantae; Streptophyta; Magnoliopsida; Poales; Poaceae.
CUGGCUGGGGGCUGCCCCGCUGAAGAAAACGGUGCAGGUCUCGGUCCAUUCCCCCGUGCCCUCUCCAGCUCUCCCCUCUCACCUCUCACCCUUGUUAUAAAUACCGCUCGGAUUCCUCACGCCCCCACACGGCCACACCUCUCCUCUCUCUCUCUCCCUCUGUCCAGCGCACUCUUUCUCCUCACUAGCUACCCACCUCAGCGAGCCAAGGCCGGCGAAGCGCAUCCAUCGGUCCAUGGAGUUGUACGUGGACGAGAAGUGGAAGUUCUCCAAGAAGAGCCGGAACAACGGCAGCCGGCGCGUCCCGGGAUCCGGCGGCGGGGACUCUCUGCUGAAGAGAUCGUCGAGCAUGAGGGACGUCGCGGCGAUCGGCCGGCGCGGUACCGGCGGCGCCGGCGCCGCGGCGGCGGGCGGGUGCGCGCCGCAGCCGUCGUUCUCGAGCCGGUGCGCGGGCCUGGUGAAGGAGCAGCGGGCGCGCUUCUACAUCAUGCGCCGCUGCGUCACCAUGCUCGUCUGCUGGAAGGACUGCUCGUAGCCACGGCUCCAGGGCCGGCCGGCGAAGAGGCUCGACCCCUCGCAGUUCCCCCCGCCCGUCCGCCCGCCCGCCAGGAUCAGAGAGAGAGAGAGAGAGAGAGAGUCAGCCAUGGGGCUGAAGCAAGCAAGCUGCAAGCCGGGGGGACACGGGGAAGAAGGCAGAUUAGGUGAUGUGUGUAUAGAUCAGUCAUCAGUCUUGAUUAGGAGUCCUCAUCUUUCUUCUUCUUUUUUACCUCCCAUUUCUGGGACGUUUUCUCGAUUGCCGGUGCUCGAUUAGGUAAAGAGUAGUAACUAGUACAGUACCUAGCGUUGCGAGGUAGAUGCGUGUGGUAUCGUGGACAGUUUUGGGAAUCCCCUUCUUCAAGGGGAAUGGGGAUCUGGGUUCUUUACAGCUGCAGUGCUGCGAAGGAGCACCGCAGGCAGCUGAGAUGAAAUCUAGUGGAUCUCUUCUGUUGUUAGUUGUACCACGACCACGGUAAAAAAAACAACAACAACGUCGUCAUCGCCCGGCCAUGUAUAGCUAAAGAAACCAGACG